UGGGGAAUAUUGCACAAUGGGCGCAAGCCUGAUGCAGCCAUGCCGCGUGUAUGAAGAAGGCCUUCGGGUUGUAAAGUACUUUCAGCGAGGAGGAAGGCGGUAAGGUUAAUAACCUUAUCGAUUGACGUUACUCGCAGAAGAAGCACCGGCUAACUCCGUGCCAGCAGCCGCGGUAAUACGGAGGGUGCAAGCGUUAAUCGGAAUUACUGGGCGUAAAGCGCACGCAGGCGGUCUGUCAAGUCGGAUGUGAAAUCCCCGGGCUCAACCUGGGAACUGCAUUCGAAACUGGCAGGCUAGAGUCUUGGAGAGGGGUGUAGAAUUCCAGGUGUAGCGGUGAAAUGCGUAGAGAUCUGGAGGAAUACCGGUGGCGAAGGCGGCCCCCUGGACAAAGACUGACGCUCAGGUGCGAAAGCGUGGGGAGCAAACA
This 427-nucleotide ribosomal RNA is filed under the name uncultured bacterium. Its description in RNAcentral is "partial 16S ribosomal RNA". It matches the Rfam family "Bacterial small subunit ribosomal RNA", at positions 355 to 774 of the family's 1533-position model. The record is from RNAcentral.